GAUGAAGAACGUAGUGAAAUGCGAUAAGUAGUGUGAAUUGCAGAAUUCAGUGAAUCAUCGAAUCUUUGAACGCACAUUGCGCCCUUUGGUAUUCCUUAGGGCAUGCCUGUUCGAGCGUCAUUUAAACCUUCAAGCUAAGCUUGGUGUUGGGUGACUGUCCGCUUCACGGCGGACUCGCCUCAAAAUUAUUGGCGGCCGGUACAUUGGCUUCGAGCGCAGCAGAAACGCGAACUCGGGCCCGUCGUAUUGGCUCCCAGAAGCUAUCUUCACAAUUUUGACCUCGGAUCAGGUAGGAAUACCCGCUGAACUUAAGCAUAUCAAUAAGCGGAGGA
RNAcentral lists this unclassified non-coding RNA (332 nucleotides) under soil metagenome. RNAcentral describes it as "partial contains 5.8S ribosomal RNA, internal transcribed spacer 2, and large subunit ribosomal RNA". The stretch from base 1 to 120 matches the Rfam family "5.8S ribosomal RNA", at positions 35 to 154 of the family's 154-position model. The record is from RNAcentral.